CCUCGUGAAGCUUAUGCAGCAUUUAUCACCCAUAACAAGCUGCAGUUAGGGGCAAUUCAAAGGAGGAGUUGAAGCAUUAUCUUCCUAAAGAGAAUGGAACCUCACCUGGGAAGACGAAAUGGACUGCUGGGGAGGAUAGACUGGUGAGGAAGUGGGGCCAGUAUUGGGGUAGAGAGGGUGACGUGUCUGAUUUAGGACACUGUUCUAGGGACUCAUGGGGAACUUUGGUAUUUUAGGGAACUGAAUGGGAUUUGAUUAAAGAGCUGACCAUCAGGCUACUGCAGAGUGUAAUGAGAGACCAGAUAAGGCUGUAAAGAGGGACCAUAAUGGGGAGUGGAGGAUGGGCCUGCCAGACGGCAGAGGACUGACCCCAGAGGGAGAAUGGGCACCAGGCAGACGCAGAAGACGGGGAGGGACUUCCAAGAAGGAAGUUGGUAGCGUGGCAGACGAGCCCAUCAAGAGCUUCCCGAGGCUGAAAGCUGCAAAAAUACUGUUGGAUUGAGAAGAGCUGUGAGAUUGAAAAUUAACUCACAGGGGCUUAAGCAAGAAGGGUCUGUGCUUAGAAGGAAUCACAGGUGAAAGGAGUGUUUUUAUCGUUAUUUUUAAAAGUGGAGAGAGGGUAAGCAAAGGAGUGAGUUUCCUGAGGAGGUGGGAAGGGAUGAGGUUGGUUUUAAAAUUCCUCUUCCCUUAAGUCAGAGUGGAGGGAGAGAGAAUGAACGAGCUGCGCAGAGGUGUGGGAGGCACACUGAUGGAGGGCAAAGGAGGUCACAUCACCAUCUCCAUCGGCCUCAGGAGGUCAGGCAAGGCAAUCUGUUCUGAGGACGGGGUGCAGGUGGGGAGCACGGUGAGGGGCAGAUUCAGAAAAGGACUGUGCAGAGGUGCCGGGGCAGCUGCAGAGGAGGAAUAAAGGGAUUGCAGCAGAGAGGAUUGGUUGAAGCUGGAAUCAUGAAUGCAUAAUAGUGCUGGCG
RNAcentral lists this long non-coding RNA (968 nucleotides) under Pan troglodytes (chimpanzee). RNAcentral describes it as "long non-coding RNA NONPTRT001408". Lineage: Eukaryota; Metazoa; Chordata; Mammalia; Primates; Hominidae. The record is from RNAcentral.